GACGAACGCUGGCGGCGUGCUUAACACAUGCAAGUCGAACGCUGAAGCUCAGCUUUUGUUGGGUGGAUGAGUGGCGAACGGGUGAGUAACACGUGAGUAACCUGCCCCCUUCUUUGGGAUAAUGCCCGGAAACGGGUGCUAAUACUGGAUAUUCACUGGUCUUCGCAUGGGGGUUGGUGGAAAGGGUUUUUCUGGUGGGGAAUGGGCUCGCGGCCUAUCAGCUUGUUGGUGGGGUGAUGGCCUACCAAGGCUUUGACGGGUAGCCGGCCUGAGAGGGUGACCGGUCACAUUGGGACUGAGAUACGGCCCAGACUCCUACGGGAGGCAGCAGUGGGGAAUAUUGCACAAUGGGCGCAAGCCUGAUGCAGCGACGCCGCGUGAGGGAUGGAGGCCUUCGGGUUGUGAACCUCUUUCGCUCAUGGUCAAGCCGCAACAAUGGUUGUGGUGAGGGUAGUGGGUAAAGAAGCGCCGGCUAACUACGUG
Molecule: ribosomal RNA, 483 nt
Filed under: uncultured bacterium
Lineage: Bacteria
Description: partial 16S ribosomal RNA
Rfam family: Bacterial small subunit ribosomal RNA
Source: RNAcentral